GAUGAACGCUGGCGGCGUGCUUAACACAUGCAAGUCGAACGGGACUAUUCUUGACAGAGGCUUCGGCUGAUAGAGGGUUUAGUCUAGUGGCGGACGGGUGAGUAACGCGUGAGCAACCUGCCCUUCAGAGGGGGACAACAGCUGGAAACGGCUGCUAAUACCGCAUAUUGCAACGAGAUCGCAUGGUUUUGUUGUGAAAGAUUUAUCGCUGAAGGAUGGGCUCGCGUCUGAUUAGCUAGUUGGUAGGGUAACGGCCUACCAAGGCGACGAUCAGUAGCCGGACUGAGAGGUUGAACGGCCACAUUGGGACUGAGAUACGGCCCAGACUCCUACGGGAGGCAGCAGUGGGGAAUAUUGGGCAAUGGGCGCAAGCCUGACCAGCAACGCCGCGUGAAGGAAGAAGGCUUUCGGGUUGUAAACUUCUUUGACCAGGGAAGAAACAAAUGACGGUACCUGGAAAACAAGCCACGGCUAACUACGUGCCAGCAGCCGCCGUAAAAC
This 501-nucleotide ribosomal RNA is filed under the name uncultured bacterium. Its description in RNAcentral is "bacterial SSU rRNA". It matches the Rfam family "Bacterial small subunit ribosomal RNA", at positions 28 to 526 of the family's 1533-position model. The record is from RNAcentral.